UAACGUUACCUGCCAGCCGGCCUC
RNAcentral lists this non-coding RNA (24 nucleotides) under Arabidopsis thaliana (thale cress). Lineage: Eukaryota; Viridiplantae; Streptophyta; Magnoliopsida; Brassicales; Brassicaceae. The record is from RNAcentral.